ACGUUCGGAUUGCAGGCUGCAACCCGCCUGCAUGAAGUUGGAAUCGCUAGUAAUCGCGGAUCAGCAUGCCGCGGUGAAUACGUUCCCGGGCCUUGCACACACCGCCCGUCACACCAUGAGAGUCGGGGACACCCGAAGUCCGUAGUCUAACCGCAAGGGGACGCGGCCGAAGGUGGAUUCGAUAAUUGGGGUGAAGUCGUAACAAGGUACC
This 211-nucleotide ribosomal RNA is filed under the name uncultured bacterium. Its description in RNAcentral is "partial 16S ribosomal RNA". It matches the Rfam family "Bacterial small subunit ribosomal RNA", at positions 1288 to 1500 of the family's 1533-position model. The record is from RNAcentral.